The sequence is a ribosomal RNA, 499 nucleotides long. It matches the Rfam family "Bacterial large subunit ribosomal RNA", at positions 1817 to 2597 of the family's 2925-position model.
GUCUCUUUGUUAAUAGAAAAUAAAGAGUCGUACCUGCUCGGUGAAUUUAAUUUUAACAGCUGCGGUAUUUUAACUGUACUAAGGUAGCAUAAUAAUUUGCCUUAUAAAUUGAGGCUAGAAUGAAUGGUUUGACGAAGGUUUAACUGUCUCUAUUUUAUUUAUUAGAAUUUAAUUUUUAAAGUGAAAAAGCUUAAAUAUUUUAAAGGGACGAGAAGACCCUAUGAGCUUAAAUUUAAAAGUUUAUUAUUUGUUAUAGACUUUUAAAAUUUUAAUUGGGGUGAUUAAGGAAUAAUUUUUAAAAGGUAACUUCCUUAAAUAUAAAGUUGUUAGAUUAAUUAACCAAUUUAUAUUGCUUAUAAAAAAGUUACCGUAGGGAUAACAGCGUAAUUUAUUUAAAGAGUUCAUAUUGAAAAAUAAGAUUGCGACCUCGAUGUUGGAUUAAGGUUACCUUAAGGUGCAGCGGCUUUAAUAGGUAAAUCUGUUCGAUUUUUAAAACUUU